RNAcentral lists this unclassified non-coding RNA (296 nucleotides) under Hevea brasiliensis (rubber tree). Lineage: Eukaryota; Viridiplantae; Streptophyta; Magnoliopsida; Malpighiales; Euphorbiaceae. The record is from RNAcentral.
AAAAAAAAAAAAAGAGAGAAGGCAUUCAUAAUACACGACACUAAUUCUGUUUGAGACUACUCAUAUUCAUAACAUAAGACAUUUAAGCUAUAUUUGGUUAGCUUUGGAAAUGGGAAUAUAAUGUAAUUUUUGGAAUAUAUGGUUCACAAGGAAUUCAAUUUUUUUUUAAUAAUAUUUUUUAUUUGAAUAACUUGAAUUUAUGUGGAAAAGAGUUUUACUUCUAAGUAUAAUUUUUAACAUUCCCAUUAAAUUCAGUUGGUUUUUUUUCAAAAACACACUUGGAAUAGAUUUUUUUA